RNAcentral lists this ribosomal RNA (302 nucleotides) under uncultured soil bacterium. RNAcentral describes it as "bacterial SSU rRNA". It matches the Rfam family "Bacterial small subunit ribosomal RNA", at positions 26 to 334 of the family's 1533-position model. The record is from RNAcentral.
AGAUUGAACGCUGGCGGCAGGCCUAACACAUGCAAGUCGAGCGGCAGCACGGGUACUUGUACCUGGUGGCGAGCGGCGGACGGGUGAGUAAUGCCUAGGAAUCUGCCUGAUAGGUGGGGGAUAACGUUCGGAAACGGACGCUAAUACCGCAUACGUCCUACGGGAGAAAGUGGGGGAUCUUCGGACCUCACGCUAUCAGAUGAGCCGUAGGUCGAUUAGCUAGUUGGUAGGUAAGCCUACAGGCUACGAUCCGUAACUGGUCUGAGAGGAUGAUCAGUCACACUGAACUGAGACACGGUCAG